RNAcentral lists this small RNA (2457 nucleotides) under Pongo abelii (Sumatran orangutan). RNAcentral's name for it is "retained intron". Lineage: Eukaryota; Metazoa; Chordata; Mammalia; Primates; Hominidae. The record is from RNAcentral.
CAGCAGGGCCCCAGGACAUUGUUGGAAGUCGCCCUCAGGUUCUGAGCCCCUCCCUUCUGUACUGUGGGGGUCAUCCCGAGAGUCCUCUCCUGGAGCCCUGUGCCUGGGGAGGUGCGACCAGCGUGGCAUGGAUGGCGGGCUUCCACAGGGGCCUUUCCUGGCUUGUCCUUUUCUGGGAGAAACCUGAGCCGACUGCCACCUUCCUCAGGUGUGUUUUGGGUAAAGUCUUGAGGCCAAAAAGAUCUUGCGUCCCUCAAGCACUCUGAGCUAGUGCUGAGCCAGGGCACAGGCAGGCCCCGCGCCGGGGUCUUGAGCUCUGCCUCCUUCGCACUGUACUGAGCUGAGUGUGAGGAUGGUGCCAGCCCAGGCCCUGCAGUUUCUGGAGCCCUCGAUGUUCGUUGUCUCGCAUGAGCCUCACAGCCGCCUGGCAAAGUCCGUUUACCGGACAGGGUACAUUUUCCCAUUUCACAGAGGAGGAAACAGGCUCAGAGAAGUUAAUCCGUUGGUCCAGAGUCACACAGUAAGACCUGGAGCCCAGACUCCAUCUCCUGCCUCCUGUUUGGACCCUGAGGGGCUGGGGCUGGCUGCCUGCUCCUGGAACCCCCACCCAGUGUCAGAAGCUCCUGGUCCAGGCAGUAGCAGGCUGCCCGCUCCCGGCCCAGCGGAGGCCUGUGCAGAGCGUGAUGGGCCCUGUGUCUGUUGCAGGUGCACUGUGAAGAGUUCAUCCCCGAGUUUGAGAAGCAAUACCCAGAAUUUCCCUGGACGGACGUCCAGGCUGAGAUCUUCCGGGCCUUCACGGAGCUGUUCCAGGUGGCCUGUGCCAAGCCACCGCCCCUGGGCCUCUGCGACUACCCCUCAUCCCGGGCCAUGUAUGCCGUCGACCUCAUGCUGAAGUGGGACAGCGGCCCAGAUGGAAAGCGGGUGAUGCAGCCGCAGAUCCUGGAGGUGAACUUCAACCCCGACUGUGAGCGAGCCUGCAGGUACCACCCCACCUUCUUCAACGACGUCUUCAGCACCUUGUUUCUGGACCAGUCCGGUGGCUGCCAUGUUACCUGCCUUGUCUAGGCACUCGCUGUCCCCAAAACCUGUGUUUGGAGCAGGAUUCCAACCUCAGUUCUCUGAGCUGCUUCUGCAAAGGUUCCCAUGUCCCUCCCCACACCGGCCCUGGGCAUAGCGUCAGCCCCAGGCCUCUGUCCUCCCGAGCCAUCCUGCCGAGCCAUCCUCCUGGCCCCACACUCCGGGAGCACAGCAUCCUCCUCUUACCUGUGGGUCAGAGCAGGACAGUGAUGGUGUCCCCGGGGCUGAGCACCGCCCCAGGCCCUGCCCUCACCACCAUCCGUGCACUGAUGAGUCUCCAGUUUAGCCAAGGGCUUCGUUCCUGGCAUGGAGAAUUUGUUCCUGGCUGCUGUGUUUCCAGGGGGUGCUGGGGGAAGGGUUCCGUGGAGCGAGACAAGGUGUCCUUGGGAGCAGGGUUCCACCGGGAAGUGUUUGGGAGCCCUGUGUCACACGGGGCAGGUGAGUUUCUCUUCCGGGGUCUCUGCUCUUAUGCAUCAGGAUGACCCCGGGACGGCUGUGGGGCUCCACACUGCACCCACAGGGCUCUAUGCGACAGGGGCCCAGGAACAGUCUGAGGCCACCACCCAGCAAGCCUGCCUUAUCACCCAUUCCAGCUCACCCAGAACCUUCACCAGCAAACCUCCUGCUGAAGUCCUGGCAGGAAGCCACCAUCUUGUUACCUUUUCCUUUUCCAUUUGCUGAGGGUCACAGACCCCAACAGGGAAAUCAGUAUCUGUCUUCCCAGUGGUUGCCCUGCUCGCCGGGCACUCCACGGGGUCCCGCCCUUGUCUGAGAUGGGCCAGGAUCCUUCAGCAAGGGGUGCCUGGGGCUGGGGCUGAUUGUGGGCAGUGGAACACCAGACAGAAAAGGAUUCCAAUGAGAACUUCAGGUUAAAGUCAGAUGCCACCUACCAGGGUCUACAGUCAAAAUGUUGGCUUUUUCUUAUUUUUUAAUGUAUGGGAGAAAAAUGUAAAAUUCCAGUUCUUUUCUAAUUAUGUUUCUGAAAUUAGGAGUCAGCUACCAGCGUUUUUGUGUGGCUGCAGUGUGCCUGGGCCCAGCUCACGGGCAGUGGGUGGACCUAACUGCCCAGGCAGGCGGGAGCUACUUCCAGAGCCUUCCAGUGCAUGGGAGGGCAGGGCUGGGUGUGGCGGUGUCUCCUCUUUGAAAUUAAGAACUAUCUUUCUUGUAGCAAAGCUGCACCUGAUGAUGCUGCCUCUCCUCUCCAUGUUGUCUGGGUCCCUGUUUACAAGCACGCGUUGCCCUUCCUGAGGGGAGCCAUGCUCUAGCCCCUGGAGGGCCUGUUGCAGGGGCAGGGUGGGCCCAUCGCCUUUGGCAGCUCCUGGAGAGCUGUUGACAUGCAGUCCCCCUCGGUUCGUGCUGCAAUAAAGUCCAUCUUCUCUU